Molecule: ribosomal RNA, 561 nt
Filed under: Talaromyces pinophilus
Lineage: Eukaryota; Fungi; Ascomycota; Eurotiomycetes; Eurotiales; Trichocomaceae
Description: eukaryotic LSU rRNA
Rfam family: 5.8S ribosomal RNA (bases 204-357)
Source: RNAcentral
GAAGGUGACCUGCGGAGGAUCAUUACCGAGUGCGGGCCCUCGCGGCCCAACCUCCCACCCUUGUCUCUAUACACCUGUUGCUUUGGCGGGCCCACCGGGGCCACCUGGUCGCCGGGGGACGCACGUCCCCGGGCCCGCGCCCGCCGAAGCGCUCUGUGAACCCUGAUGAAAAUGGGCUGUCUGAGUACUAUGAAAAUUGUCAAAACUUUCAACAAUGGAUCUCUUGGUUCCGGCAUCGAUGAAUAACGCAGCGAAAUGCGAUAAGUAAUGUGAAUUGCAGAAUUCCGUGAAUCAUCGAAUCUUUGAACGCACAUUGCGCCCCCUGGCAUUCCGGGGGGCAUGCCUGUCCGAGCGUCAUUUCUGCCCUCAAGCACGGCUUGUGUGUUGGGUGUGGUCCCCCCGGGGACCUGCCCGAAAGGCAGCGGCGACGUCCGUCUGGUCCUCGAGCGUAUGGGGCUCUGUCACUCGCUCGGGAAGGACCUGCGGGGGUUGGUCACCACCAUAUUUUACCACGGUUGACCUCGGAUCAGGUAGGAGUUACCCGCUGAACUUAAGCAUAUC